CUCCACGCAGAGCCACAUGCUGCUUCUCCGAGGCAGGCUGGUGGGACCAGACAAUCCUGUGAGCUGAGGUGAUGCUCUGCUCCCUGUGGACCACGCCAGAGCUGCCUGUGGGUGUCCAGUGCCCUAUGCUGUGUUGUGAAGACUACAUAAGGAAAAAACUGCAGCGCUGGGAACUGCCCCUCAUGUGUAACAUGUGUCCGGCUCUUCUUCAGGAUGGAUGCUCAGUCUUUUAUACCCCUGGGGGUUACAUCAGCCCUCUCAAAGUCUGCCUGUCAGCUCUUCUUUGCCAUUUAUCGGUGGAAUUGCUUUCUUGUAACUUGAUUGGAGCUCAGGUGUUGCCAUGCCGCACCCCCUAAGAGCCAAGCUUUUCCAUUCCCAACUGCCCCAGGUAAGGGACACAUGUGCACGCCUUCUUUUCACUUAUCCUAGACAACCCCGGCUGUCUGAUGGCAACAAUACAGGGGGAAAAGGGAACUAUGGGGAAAACAGAAGACAUCUAAACUACAAUACCACAACUAUAUAUCACUAAAGCUUUUCUUAAUAUUCACACAAUCGUUAUCUUUUAAUUGCGAGAGCCAAGCAUCUAAUUAUCCAUCUAGAACACCAAGAAAAAAUCCCUGGGGAGCCGGGCCUCCUCUGGGGUUGGGAAAUGUUAAGGAAAAAAAAAAAAAAAAGUGCCCACAAAGUGCCAAGGGGAAUUCCACAGCGCUGGAGGAAGGCUUGGUGAGGAGAUGCAGAGGUUCGGGGCGGGGAGCAGCGCUUUGCUGGGGCAGUGUUUUAUCCCUGUUCCCAGCGCUGGGCUCAGUGGGUGCUGGGCUGCCGGGUGGUUUUCGUCUCCCGGACCGCAAUCCUGCCGUUCCCCGCUGCUCCUCGCUGCCUGCCGUGUUUACAGAGCAGCUCUGUAUGGGAUGCUCCACGCGUGACUCACCCGCAGCAGUGCCCGGACCUUGGCGGAGCUGAGUUGUUAAAGCUGAAACCUUCCCUUCCCUGACUCUGCAGAAGAGCCGGGCUCCGCUGCACUGACCUGUUGACAAGACUGCGCUUGUUUUUCUUUGUUAUUCUUGUUUGUCUUGCCAGAAAUCCUGUGCGGGAAUGUUCCUAAGAAUCAUUCUAGCCCGGAUCUGAAUUUCUGAGCAGGGAAACGACGAGUUUGGGACGAGCUGGGCGCUGCUGUGCUUGUGCUGUCGGGGGAGUCUCCCGCCUGUCGGUGAGGCUGCACUGCCUCCCCUCCUCUCCAUCUCCUCAGUGUGGACCAGCGCUCUGUAAAAACCUCCAAAAUCAGCUGCACCACACACCCAGGAGGCACCAGACUUACACCUUUGUCUUUCACAGCUGAAGAUAUGUGCUAGACAUUUCUAAACCUCACCCAAUAAAUGUCACCACAGUGCUUUUCACCUUUU
This is a long non-coding RNA of Serinus canaria (Common canary), 1400 nucleotides long. RefSeq lists it as uncharacterized. The record is from RefSeq and is a predicted model, not a curated record. NCBI's taxonomy places the organism in Eukaryota, Metazoa, Chordata, Aves, Passeriformes, Fringillidae. The transcript is spliced from 2 exons.